AUACUUACCUGGCUGGGGAGAUACCGUGAUCAAGAAGGCGGUUCACCCAGGGCGAGGCUCAGCCAUUGCACUUCGGCUGUGCUGACCCCUGCGAAUUCCCCAAAUGUGGGAAUCUCGACUGCAUAAUUUCUGAUAGUAGGGGACUGCGUUCGCGCUCUCCCCUG
This is a small nuclear RNA of 164 nucleotides. Its record names the gene U1. It matches the Rfam family "U1 spliceosomal RNA". From Rfam's summary of the family: U1 is a small nuclear RNA (snRNA) component of the spliceosome (involved in pre-mRNA splicing). Its 5' end forms complementary base pairs with the 5' splice junction, thus defining the 5' donor site of an intron. The record is from Ensembl.